This 1098-nucleotide long non-coding RNA is filed under the name Oryza brachyantha (malo sina). RNAcentral's name for it is "long non-coding RNA (OBRA_LNC000937)". The record is from RNAcentral. Lineage: Eukaryota; Viridiplantae; Streptophyta; Magnoliopsida; Poales; Poaceae.
GCUGACUACAAAUCAAGAUCAUGGUCCAAUAGGUAUGGCGUCCCUCCACAAGUAGGAGGUUCGAGGUUCGAUCCUCGGCUCUGGUCAUUCUUCAGUUAUAUUUAAAUAAUAUAAUAUAAUUAUAAAUAUAAUAAUAAAAUCAUAAAACUGGAGGAACAUAAAACUGUCCAUUAUUAAAAUUAAUAGCGCACAAAUAUAUUGCUACAACUUAUAUUCUUUAUUGCUAACUAGCCACGCUUAUUGUCACAUAUUACCCUAGUUGUGCAUGUAUUGUAAAUGAUGUUAGCAACGAUAGCAAAGACAACAUAUAUUUAAUGUGUUGGUGUAGACCCUAGCAAUACUUAUUUGAACUUUUAGCCAUAUAUAUAUAUAUAUGUAUUGCUAAAGAGGGUUUCUCUAGUAGUGAUGGUGGCUCAACCUAGACCUUUUGGUAAACUGGUAGGUUAAGAUAGCUAGUACUGUACCUAUCACAAUGUAAGAUUUUUAACAUUGUUUAUAUUCAUAUGAAUUCCGAUGAAUCAUUCACAUAUUUACAAACAAUAUAUAUUGAUCUAUUGAUAAAUCUGUAUAUAGCUAAACUGCUUUUCAACAUAAAACGAAGGGAGUAUAAAAGUAAUUCGAAUGCUCAUGCUCGAUUUAAUGUAUUGAAUGCUUAAUUCAGACUAGUUUUAUUUAGAGCCCCAAUUUGCAUAGUCCUGAGCCUACAUUCCUGCCAACAGCCCUAAGAGUGAUUACCAUACUACAACAUUAGUGCUUCUGCAAUAAAGACUAUUUGAACAUUAGUUUCAUCAAAAUGCGGUUAUAUAAUCUAGUUUAUCCAAUUUUCAUGGGUGUCUUUUAAGUUUAAAAUAAUGAAAAUAUGAUUAACCAUACAUCAUUGACUCUUAUUUUGCUCAGUUCAGGUUGUCUGGACCCAAAAAGAACUCACUAACCGUACAGAGACCAGCAAGGAUGAGUAGGACGCGAAGCGGCCGAACGGCUUGAAGCGGACAAGAAGCCGGCACACAGCCACUUGAAUCUUGAAUUCAGCACUGAUCCGUCCAACGACGAGACGAAAAAAAGAAAGAAAGAAAAACUGCAUCCGUGGAUCGAUCGAUC